AGAGUUUGAUCCUGGCUCAGGAUGAACGCUAGCGGCAGGCCUAACACAUGCAAGUCGAGGGGUAUUACACUUUCGGGUGUAAGAGACCGGCGCACGGGUGCGUAACGCGUAUGCAAUCUGCCUUUUACAGGAGUAUAGCCCUGAGAAAUCCGGAUUAAUCCUCCAUAGUAUUAUGAAAUGGCCUCAUUUUAUAAUUAAAGCUUCGGCGGUAAAAGAUGAGCAUGCGUCCUAUUAGUUAGUUGGUAGGGUAACGGCUUACCAAGACAUCGAUAGGUAGGGGUCCUGAGAGGGAGAUCCCCCACACUGGUACUGAGACACGGACCAGACUCCUACGGGAGGCAGCAGUGAGGAAUAUUGGACAAUGGGCGAGAGCCUGAUCCAGCCAUGCCGCGUGCAGGAAGACAGCCCUACGGGUUGUAAACUGCUUUUACAGAGGAAGAAUAAGGGGUACGUGUACCUCGAUGACGGUACUCUGUGAAUAAGCAUCGGCUAACUCCGUGCCAGCAGCCGCGGUAAUACGGAGGAUGCAAGCGUUAUCCGGAAUCAUUGGGUUUAAAGGGUCCGUAGGCGGAUCGGUAAGUCAGUGGUGAAAGUCUGCAGCUCAACUGUAGAAUUGCCAUUGAUACUGCUGGUCUUGAAUAACUAUGAAGUAAUUAGAAUGUGUAGUGUAGCGGUGAAAUGCAUAGAUAUUACACAGAAUACCGAUUGCGAAGGCAGGUUACUAGUAGUGAAUUGACGCUGAUGGACGAAAGCGUGGGGAGCGAACAGGAUUAGAUACCCUGGUAGUCCACGCCGUAAACGAUGGAUACUAGCUGUUCGUGCCACAUUGGUGGUAUGAGUGGCCAAGCGAAAGUGAUAAGUAUCCCACCUGGGGAGUACGUUCGCAAGAAUGAAACUCAAAGGAAUUGACGGGGGCCCGCACAAGCGGUGGAGCAUGUGGUUUAAUUCGAUGAUACGCGAGGAACCUUACCAAGGCUUAAAUGCAGAUUGACAGGUCUGGAGACAGACCCUUCUUCGGACAAUUUGCAAGGUGCUGCAUGGUUGUCGUCAGCUCGUGCCGUGAGGUGUCAGGUUAAGUCCUAUAACGAGCGCAACCCCUGUUGUUAGUUACCAGCAAGAAAGAUGGGGACUCUAACAAGACUGCCGGUGCAAACCGUGAGGAAGGUGGGGAUGACGUCAAAUCAUCACGGCCCUUACGUCUUGGGCUACACACGUGCUACAAUGGCAGGAACAAUGAGCAGCCACCCCGCAAGGGGGAGCAAAUCUAUAAAGCCUGUCACAGUUCGGAUCGCAGUCUGCAACUCGACUGCGUGAAGCUGGAAUCGCUAGUAAUCGGAUAUCAGCCAUGAUCCGGUGAAUACGUUCCCGGGCCUUGUACACACCGCCCGUCAAGCCAUGGAAGCCGGGGGUACCUGAAGUCGGUCACCGCAAGGAGCUGCCUAGGGUAAAACUGGUAACUGGGGCUAAGUCGAAACAAGGUA
RNAcentral lists this ribosomal RNA (1481 nucleotides) under metagenome. Its description in RNAcentral is "bacterial SSU rRNA". It matches the Rfam family "Bacterial small subunit ribosomal RNA". The record is from RNAcentral.